GUUCCCAGUAAUUAAAUAUGCAUUCAUAAUUUAAGCAGUUAUUUUUCUUUAUAAAACUUUUGUAAUGGCAUUAAUUAGUUUUGCCUAUUGCCCAUGGGCAGUUUUCUUUUUAGUUUUCUUAACCAAGUUACCAGUGAGUUAGUACUGACUUGUUAACUUGUCAUCCACUUGUUUGAUGUGUUUGAGCUUUUGAUUUUGCCAUUUGAUAAGGGACUUUCUGUUUUCAAUUUUCCUUAGAGUUCUUCAUUUAUUUUCAUUUAACUUUUUUCCAAGGUACAUAUUAUUAAAGUUUUAUAUUUUAAAAUAAAAGUGUUAGCCAAUGAUACAAUAGCAUAAGGCAAAUCUGUCUUUUGAUGGUUCUAUAAAUCUUUAAGCCCCCUUUUAAAAUCAAUAUUAUUCAAGUUUCUGCUCAUGUUAAUUAUGACUCAUAGUGAACAAAGUUUCUUUGGUUUUCUAAACUUUUAGCUAUGGUUCUUUUUUAAGAAAGCUUUAAGCUCUAGCUAAAACAAGUUUUUAGUAUUACAAAAAAUAUGCAGCUUUGCAUAGCAUAACAACUUUCAUUACACACCAUCUUUGAUCAAUUUAAAGCUUUUAAUC
RNAcentral lists this long non-coding RNA (597 nucleotides) under Mytilus galloprovincialis (Mediterranean mussel). The record is from RNAcentral. Lineage: Eukaryota; Metazoa; Mollusca; Bivalvia; Mytilida; Mytilidae.